This 729-nucleotide ribosomal RNA is filed under the name uncultured eukaryote. RNAcentral describes it as "bacterial SSU rRNA". It matches the Rfam family "Eukaryotic small subunit ribosomal RNA", at positions 679 to 1426 of the family's 1831-position model. The record is from RNAcentral.
UGAGUAUGCACCUAUUGUCGCUGGCAUUUAUCCGACCCAUUUAACAGGUAAAACUGUUGGAUACUCGGAACCGUUACUUUGAGAAAAUUAGAGUGUUUCAAGCAGGCGUAAUGCCUGAAUACUCCAGCAUGGAAUAACAAGUGAGGACUCAGGUCCUUCUUGUUGGUUUAAGAACCUGAGUAAUGAUUAAGAGGAACAGUCGGGGGUAUUCGUACUUGGUAGUCAGAGGUGAAAUUCUUAGAUUUACCAAAGACGAACUACUGCGAAGGCAUCUACCAUGGAUGUUUUCAUUAAUCAAGAACGAAAGUUAGGGGAUCGAAGAUGAUCAGAUACCAUCGUAGUCUUAACCAUAAACUAUGCUGACUAGGGAUCGGAAGUUGUCAAUCAUAUGACUCUUUCAGCACCUUUUGAGAAAUCAAAGUCUUUGGGUUCCGGGGGUAGUAUGGUUGCAAAGCUGAAACUUAAAGAAAUUGACGGAAGGGCACCACCAGGAGUGGAGCUUGCGGCUUAAUUUGACUCAACACGGGAAAACUCACCCGGUCCGGACACCGUAAGGAUUGACAGACUGAUAGCUCUUUCUUGAUUCGGUGGUUGGUGGUGCAUGGCCGUUCUUAGUUGGUGGAGUAAUUUGUCUGGUUUAUUCCGAUAACGAGCGAGACUCUAGCCUGCUAAAUAGAACGAGGAUAAACCUUUUCAUAGGUCCUCGAUGCUUCUUAGAGGAAUUAGCGG